Molecule: long non-coding RNA, 34785 nt
Filed under: Vitis vinifera (wine grape)
Lineage: Eukaryota; Viridiplantae; Streptophyta; Magnoliopsida; Vitales; Vitaceae
Description: long non-coding RNA (VVIN_LNC000568)
Source: RNAcentral
CAUAUCCCUAGUUACUUCCUUUCUUUGUACAAAAUCCCUUCAUUAGUGGUGAAUAGGAUUAACAAAAUACAAAGGGAUUUUCUUUGGCCAAGUUUUGGGGAGGGAUCACCCUAUAAGUUGGAACCAAGUUUGAAAGUCUAAGGAGGAAGGAGAGUUGGGGUUAAGGAGAAUUUCUUUGAGGGCCCCCCCCAUUAGGGAAGUGGCUUUGGAGGUUUCUUAGGAAAAGUUUAGCCCUUUAGCAUAAGGUUAUAUUGAGCAUCUAUGGGAUACUUCCCAAAGGUUGGAUGCUAACAUUUCAUUCAGGUGAUCAUAUUGUUGCCCUUGAAGGCCAUUGCUUAGGUCUUUUAGGAUAUCUCCAUUCAUAUCCAGUUUUUGGUCGGCAAUGGGCAAAGAUUUGCUUAUAGGAAGAUUUGUGGUGGGGGAACGUCCUUUGAUUUAUCAAUUUCUUAAUCUAUAUAAAAUUGUGUUGGAGAUAAGUUUAAAAAUCUGUUAAAUGCACAUGUUUUCAAGAUAAUUAUUUUGAAUGUAAUAUUUAUAAAUAGUUAUGCUUAAAUUACUUUCAUUAAUUUUCGUAGUCUUUGAUAUAUAGCAUAGAUAAAUAAUCUUUUAAAAAAUUAUUAGCACACAUGAGUUUUCUCUACUAUUGAAGAUUAGUUUGAAAAGUUAUUAAAUACAUGUAUUUUAAAUUACUUGCAAUAAUUUUCAUAGUUUUUGAUAUGUAGCAUAGAUAAAUAAUAGUUUUAUGUUUUACCAUGCUAUAGCCUAACAAUGAAAAAUGAUGUAAGAUAAAAUAAAAUUAUUUAUAAGAGUAAUUUAUUUUUGGUUUGAGUCAGAUUUUUCAUAAUUUACUUUUAAUUUAGUUUUCUAAUAUGGUUAAUUAAAUAAAUAAAUUAUUUGUAACAUUAGAGCUAUUUUAUAAAUGUAAUUUAUUAUGUUUUUUAACUAUUGAACUGUAGUCUAUUGUGUUUUCAAGUAUUCAAAUUCAAUAAAAUAAAAUUUUUAUUUUCAAAGUCAUAUUCCUUAUCAAUGCAUGUUGUAUUAUUGACUAAUGUCACAAAUUUUAUCAUGCAUAUGGUAUUUUCUUAAAAAAAACCUAAUUUAAUUUGUGCAUCACUUUUACUUUUAUUACAUUCCUCAUUUUUUUUUUCAAAAUUUUCUUAUUUUUGGUCAACUUUCAUUUUUUUUUUCAAUCCUUUAGCAGUAUUUUAAUUGAUUUCGUUAUUGUUGUAAAAUUGAACCAUCGAUAUUUUGUUGAUAUUGACAUUUUCAUCAUUGAUUAGUCAUGAUAGAUGCAUUAUUAGUGGGAAGUGUGUGAACCACUUGUUUCAUCAUUCUCUUGGCUCAUAAGACUUAUGACAACUAUUUUCUCUUUCAUGAGCAUUCUCUAGGUGGUCUUAAAAAGACUCUAGACACAUUAACUAUUUUGUUUCAAGGGUUCAUCGAAGGUGAUAGGAGUGGAGUCCUUUAGGAAUGUUGGAUGUUUGGGGAUUGUCAAAGACAUUUAACUAAGUUGACAGAUAAGAUUUUAUCUUGGAGUUCUCUUUAUGUCUCAGUGGUUCUAUUCAACCAGGGUUUGAUUGUUUAUCCUAAUUUAGGGGCAACCUUUCUAGUGCUAGUUACUUUUAGUCAACUUCAUGGAAUGUUUUGAUUGAAAAAUGGACCUUCCAAAAACCUUUCAUAUCAAUAAAUAGUUUAUUUCUGAUUAAAAAAAGUGGAUGUUGCUUUUGCCUUUGAUUGUGUCCUUUUUUUGUUUUCUCCUAUGUGUACGUGAAUGUGUGAUAAGAUUCAUGUUUUGUCAAAUCAUUUAUUCCUAAAUUUUAAUGCAUUUUAUAUGUUAAAAUGUAUUUGUAGUGUAUUGCAAUAAUUUGUUUAACUUAUUUUCUUUUAUGUAAGGAGUAUUUCAUUUAUCAGUCUUCUUUUGCAGAUAUUUGCAGGCCAAUAUUUGUAGUGUAUUGAAAUAAUUUGUUUAUCUUAUUUUCUUUUAUGUUAAGAGUAUUUCAUUUAUCAAUCUUCUUUUGCAGAUAUUUGCAGGGCAACUACUUAAGUGGAUUAAUUCCUAGUGAGUUGGGUAGCCUUUUAGAGCUUAAAGAUCUGUGAGUUGUUUCUCUUAUGCUAGCUAUUGUUUGUUUGUUAAAAUGGUUUAAUUUUUACAGAUUGGACAACAAAUUAUAAAGUAAAGGUUCUAUAGAAACUUGAACUCCCUAUCUUAAUGAGAGUUUAUGAUAUGUAGGUUUCAAACACCUAUCAACUUGACAUCUGUGUCCACUUGUUUACUAACUUUUUUGGGCACCUAUAAAAGACUAAAAUUGUAAGCCUUUGGUUACAAAAGGGAGAUAACAGUUAAUUGAUCAUGAUAAUUAAGGCUUUUUUAUGGUGGUUUUAGAGAAGAUGGGAUUCAUGCAGAGAUAGAUCAAAUGGAUUAGAUGGUGUAUCUCCACUGCAAAAUUCUUAGUGCUUGUAAAUGGGACUCUGACUGACUUCUUCCAAAGUUCUCGGGGUUGAGGCAAUUGUUCAUUUUGGCCAUGGAGGCACUUGGUCGGAUUUUGUUGAGUAUGGGGUUUGAAGUUGGGUGGUAGAGGUGGCAAAGGGCAAGAAAUGACCCACUUGUUGUGUUGAUGACCCUCUUGUUUUCUAUGAUGCUAGGUAAGAUCAUGUGGAAUAUCUAAGUUGGUCAUUCAUGUGGUUUGAGGCAAUUUUGGGUUUUACAAUUAAUAUGAAGAAGAGCAAGCUGAUUUUGGUUGGAGGUGAUGACUAUGUGGAGAUGUUAAUUGCUUUCCUGUGUUGGAGGGUGGGGCAACUCCCUUCUACUUACCUAGGCUCUUUGUUGGGUGUUUCGUUUAAAUCAGCUAGGACAUGGAACUUGGUGGAGGAGAGGUUUUAAAAGAGGCUUGCUUUGUAGAAGGGGCAAUAUUUGUCUAAAGGAGGGAGACUCACUUUGAUUUUCUAGUUUUCCAAUUUACUUUAUGUCUAUGUUCGUUAUCCUAAAAAAGGUGGACCGAAGGUUAGAGCAGGUCAAAAGAAACUUCCUUUAAGGUGGGGUAGAGCUUGCAAAAAAAACCACACUUUGUUAGGUGGCCUAUUGUUUGCUUGGACAAAAGAGCAGAGGUGUAGAUAUUAGAAACCUCUAUGUUUGGAAGGAGGCUCUUCUCAGUAAGUGGUGUUGGAGAUUUGCGAUUGAGAGGAAUUCUCUUUGGAAGCGAGUUAUUUCUUAAAAAUUUGGGGAAGACAAAGAGGGAUGGUGCUCAGGGACAGUGAGAAAUGGUUAUGUGGUGGGUGUGUGGAAAGUGAUCAGAAAAGAAUGAGAUUUUGUGAAGGGUAGAGUUCGCUUGUCUAUUGGCAAUUGAAGAAGGGCCAAGUUUUAGAAAGGUAGAUGGAAUGGUGAUUUAUCUUUGGAAGAAUCUUUUCUGUUGUUGUUCUCUUUUGCCACAAACAAAGAUGCAUGGGUUGUGGAUGUAUGGGAGCAAUAUGAGGAAAGUGGCUGGUGGAGCCCUCAAUUUUCUAGGCAAUUUCAUGAUUGGGAACUUAAAGUAGCGAUUGACUUUUUUCAGAAACUCCAAGCUUUCUCAGUUAGGAGAGAGGAGGAUGAUAGUUUGGAGUAGAAGGAAUCCAAGGAUGGCAAAUUCUCCAUUAAAUCCUUCUAUCUCUCUUUAGUCCAAGGAAGAAGUCAGCCUUUCUCUGCAAGUUGAUUGUGGAAUUCCUAGGCUUCGACGAAGGUGAGUUUUUUUUGCUUGGGAAGCAUCAUGGAGCAAAAUUUUGAUGAUCGAGCCACUCAAAAGGAGGGGAUGGAGUAUUCUGACUUGGUGUUACAUUUGUAAAAAGGAUGAGGAGUUGACUAAUCAUUGCUCCUCUAUUGCUAUAUGACUAGUAUUUUGUGGCAGUUGAUUUUUCUAUGUUUGGUGUAGUUUAGGUGAUGCAUUCCUUGGUAAGGGGAACUUUGUUAAGCUGACAUGACUCCUUCAUGGGCAAGACAUAGAAGGGCCUUUGAAAAUUCAGAAAAAUUAGAACAAGUAAUUAAACUACUGUUUAUGAAUACUCUUGCAGAAUGGGUUAAAUUGUAUGGUGAUGUUAAUCCCAUGUCCGUCAUAGACUUUGUAGAUUAGAUUGGUUCUAAGGAGUGGGGUAGAGGGGAUAUUGUUUUUUGUUCCUUCCUUUAUCUUCUUCUUGCCCGUCCUUCUGUGCCAUUUCUAUACUUUACAUGUACUUUGCUACACCUAUAGUGCAGGCAUUGUACUUAUUUCUUUAUAUAUAUUUGUAGUCUUUCUUGUUACUGUUGAAAUAAUGCCAAAGUUAGGACUUUAAUUUAGGAAUAAAAAAGGAGAGAUCAUUUAGGAUAUUUCCUUAUGAUUUAGUUUCCUAAUUUUAGGAGAGAAUUAAGCUAGAUUGAUUUUUUCUUAUUCAGUCAUUUGUGUAUAUAUAUGUGUAUGGUGUGUACCGAUUAACAUCAAUAAAGGAGUUCAGAAAUUCUUCAUGGUAUCAGAGCCAGUUUUCUGAAACCCUAAUCCCUUCUGGUCACCUCUUAUUCAGGCCAUCACUCAUUCCGGCCAAAUCUCUCUGGCCAUAUCUCAAUCCGAUCAUCUCUCUCUCUCUCUCUCUGUCUCUCAUUCCGGUCAUCAGUCCCUGUUCUCAGAGCCAAGGGAGAAAACGCUUUCCGGUCAAUCGAAUCGUCGUCAGAAAACACUCACCGCCAGAAACUUUUCCGGCGAACUUUUCCGGCGAACUUUCCGGCGACGGUUUUUUCUACACCGCAAGGAGCGCCUGGAGGAGAUCUCCAAUUUGUCCCAAAGCACCGGAACCAGAAACCCAUCCACGCGCCGCCCACGCGCGUUUUUCCGGCCGGCGACUGCAUCUCACGCGCCGGCGCGUGAGGGCGCGUGAGCCACUUUCCGGCGACGCGCUUCCUCCUCCAGGCUCGCCUGACGCCGACCAGCCACCCUUCCUACCUGCUUGUGCAAUCCGAGCCCUGCACGUGCCUCUUUUGGGGUUCUUUUGCUUCCGCGGGCCCUCUAAUCAGAUUUUCCGGCGUCCUCCGGCUAUUUUUUCUCAACUCCAGUCCCUGCACGUGCCUUGAAAAGUGUUCUUCUACCUUUCCGGUCCAUGACAAAAUACGGAAUGGCAUCAUCACAAGUAUCCAGCGUCACGUCACCAGAAUCAGGGGGCAGAUCUGAAAUUCCAAACCUUGGUGGCAAUGAUUCCUCUCCUAUUCUCAUCACAGGACACAAAUUAAAUGGCCAUAACUAUUUACAGUGGUCACAAUCUGUGUUGCUGUUCAUUUGCGGUAAAGGAAAGGAUGAGUACCUCACUGGAGAAGCAGUCAUGCCGGAAACUACAGAACCGGGUUUCAGGAAGUGGAAGAUUGAAAACAGCAUGAUCAUGUCAUGGCUUAUCAAUUCCAUGAACAAUGACAUAGGCGAAAAUUUCUUGUUGUUUGGGACUGCAAAGGACAUAUGGGAUGCAGCCAAAGAAACUUACUCAAGUUCUGAAAAUACUUCAGAACUGUUUCAGGUUGAAUCAGCUCUACAUGACUUCCGUCAAGGAGAGCAGUCAGUUACUCAGUAUUACAACACACUCACAAGGUAUUGGCAGCAACUUGACUUAUUUGAGACUCACUCAUGGAAAUGUUCGGAUGAUGCAGCAACAUACAGGCAAAUUGUGGAACAAAAGAGACUGUUCAAGUUCUUCCUAGGACUAAACAGGGAAUUGGAUGAUGUUAGAGGCCGAAUCAUGGGCAUUAAACCCCUGCCAAGUCUCAGGGAGGCUUUUUCAGAGGUUAGGCGUGAAGAAAGUAGAAAGAAAGUGAUGAUGGGAUCAAAAGAGCAACCUGCCCCAACAUUGGAUGCCUCUGCCCUUGCUGCUCGGUCAUUUAAUAGUAGUGGUGGAGAUCGUCAGAAACGGGAUAGGCCUUGGUGUGAUUAUUGUAAGAAACCAGGUCAUUAUAAGGAGACUUGCUGGAAGCUUCAUGGCAAACCUGCUGAUUGGAAACCAAAGCCACGGUUUGACAGAGAUGGCAGAGCACACGUGGCUGCCAACUCUGAGAGCACAUCUGUUCCCGAGCCGAGUCCAUUCAACAAAGAGCAGAUGGAGAUGCUACAGAAAUUAUUAAGCCAAGUUGGCAGUGGCAGUACUACCGGUGUAGCCUUCACUGCUAAUCGAGGAGGAAUGAGGCCGUGGAUAGUAGACACAGGUGCUUCUGAUCACAUGACAGGAGAUGCUGCCAUUCUUCAAAAUUACAAGCCAAGUAAUGGUCAUUCAUCCGUCCAUAUUGCUGAUGGUUCAAAGUCAAAAAUUGCCGGGACAGGUUCUAUAAAACUUACUAAAGACUUAUAUCUUGACUCUGUCCUCCAUGUUCCAAACUUGGAUUGUAAUCUUUUGUCCAUUAGCAAAUUGGCUCAUGAUCUCCAAUGUGUUACUAAAUUCUAUCCAAACUUGUGUGUUUUUCAGGACUUGAAAUCGGGGAAGAUGAUUGGCAGUGCUGAACUGUGUUCCGGGCUCUACCUCCUUUCAUGUGGCCAAUUCUCAAACCAAGUCUCUCAAGCAAGUUGCGUACAGUCUCAGAGUAUGUCAGAGUCUUUCAAUUCUGUGUCAAAUUCUAAGGUCAAUAAAGAUAGUGAGAUUAUAAUGUUACACUAUCGCCUUGGUCAUCCUAGCUUUGUUUACCUUGCAAAAUUGUUUCCCAGAUUAUUUAUCAAUAAAAAUCCAGCAUCUUAUCACUGUGAAAUUUGUCAGUUUGCAAAGCAUACUCGAACAGUAUAUCCUCAAAUCCCAUACAAACCUUCGACUGUUUUCUCUCUAGUACAUAGUGAUGUGUGGGGUCCCUCCCGGAUAAAAAAUAUUUCUGGCACUCGAUGGUUUGUGACAUUCGUUGAUGAUCAUACUCGGGUAACAUGGGUUUUCCUUAUGAAAGAAAAGUCAGAGGUCGGGCACAUUUUUCAAACCUUCAAUCUUAUGGUUCAAAAUCAAUUCAAUUCCAAAAUACAAGUCCUCAAGUCAGAUAAUGCAAAGGAAUACUUUACUAGUAGUCUCAGUACUUAUCUUCAAAAUCAUGGCAUUAUCCACAUAAGUUCUUGCGUUGACACCCCACAACAAAAUGGGGUGGCCGAACGCAAGAAUAGACAUCUCUUGGAAGUUGCCCGGUGCCUUAUGUUUUCCUCUAAUGUUCCAAACUAUUUCUGGGGGGAAGCUAUUCUCACAGCUACCUAUUUGAUUAACCGUAUGCCAUCCAGAGUGCUUACCUUUCAAUCCCCACGUCAACUUUUCUUAAAACAGUUUCCUCACACCCAUGCCGCCUCUUCUGAUUUACCACUCAAAGUAUUUGGUUGUACGGCAUUCGUUCAUGUGUAUCCUCAAAAUCGUAGCAAAUUUGCUCCUCGAGCAAAUAAGUGCAUUUUUCUAGGGUAUUCUCCAACCCAAAAAGGGUACAAAUGCUAUUCUCCAACCAACAAAAGAUUUUACACCACCAUGGACGUCUCUUUCUUUGAACAUGUCUUCUUCUAUCCCAAAUCUCAUGUUCAGGGGGAGAGCAUGAAUGAACAUCAAGUUUGGGAGUCUUUUCUUGAGGGUGUACCUUCUUUUCACUCAGAGUCACCAAAUCCUUCCCAAUUCGCGCCCACUGAGUUGUCCACACCCAUGCCGCCAUCAGUUCAGCCAGCCCAGCACACAAAUGUUCCUUCUCCCGUGACCAUCCAGUCUCCCAUGCCUAUUCAACCUAUAGCCCCACAACUUGCUAAUGAGAACUUACAAGUUUACAUCAGGAGGAGGAAAAGACAGGAAUUAGAGCACGGAUCACAGUCAACAUAUGACCAAUAUAUUGACUCCAAUUCAAGUCUUCCUGAAGAGAACAUAGGUGAGGAUAGGGCUGGAGAGGUGUUAAUUCCCAGCAUUGAUGAUUCUACUUUGCCAAUUGCAUUGAGGAAGGGUGUUAGGAGAUGUACAGAUCAUCCAAUUGGGAAUUAUGUUACGUAUGAAGGGUUAUCACCAUCUUACAGAGCAUUUGCUACUUCUCUUGAUGAUACUCAGGUUCCCAACACAAUACAAGAGGCAUUAAAAAUUUCAGAAUGGAAGAAGGCAGUACAAGAUGAGAUUGAUGCACUUGAGAAGAAUGGGACGUGGACUAUCACAGAUUUGCCGGUUGGGAAGAGGCCUGUGGGGUGCAAGUGGAUUUUCACCAUAAAAUACAAAGCAGAUGGAUCAGUCGAAAGAUUCAAGGCUCGUUUGGUAGCUAGAGGGUUUACACAAUCCUAUGGGAUAGACUAUCAGGAGACUUUUGCUCCUGUUGCAAAACUAAACACUAUCAGGAUCCUUCUCUCAUUGGCUGUCAAUCAAGAUUGGUGCUUGCAACAACUGGACAUAAAAAAUGCGUUUCUAAAUGGGGACCUAGAAGAGGAAGUCUACAUGGAAAUACCACCUGGUUUCGAAGAAAGUAUGGCAAAGAAUCAGGUUUGCAAACUCCAAAAAUCAUUGUACGGCCUUAAACAAUCUCCUCGAGCCUGGUUUGAUAGAUUCACAAAAGCAGUCCUAAAGCUGGGCUACAAACAAGGUCAGGCUGAUCAUACUCUAUUUGUCAAGAAGUCUCAUGCCGGGAAAUUGGCCAUAUUGAUAGUCUAUGUCGAUGAUAUUAUUCUAUCUGGAAAUGAUAUGGGGGAGUUACAGAAUUUGAAGAAGUAUUUGUCAGAAGAGUUUGAAGUUAAAGACCUUGGAAAUUUGAAAUAUUUCCUUGGUAUGGAAGUGGCUAGAUCAAGGAAGGGAAUCGUAGUCUCUCAAAGAAAAUACAUACUCGAUCUUCUUAAGGAGACCGGUAUGCUUGGAUGCAAACCAAUUGAUACUCCUAUGGAUAGUCAGAAGAAACUUGGUAUCGAGAAAGAAAGUACACCGGUAGACAGGGGGAGAUAUCAGCGGCUUGUCGGGCGCUUGAUUUAUCUCUCACACACUCGGCCAGAUAUUGGCUUUGCAGUGAGUGCUGUAAGUCAAUUCAUGCACAGCCCCACUGAGGAACACAUGGAAGCAGUCUACAGGAUUCUUAGAUAUUUAAAAAUGACACCAGGGAAAGGCCUAUUCUUCAGAAAGACAGAGAACCGUGACACUGAAGUAUACUCAGAUGCGGAUUGGGCAGGAAACAUCAUUGACAGGCGGUCCACUUCCGGAUAUUGUUCUUUUGUCUGGGGAAAUCUUGUUACCUGGAGGAGUAAGAAGCAAUCAGUUGUAGCCAGAAGUAGUGCAGAAGCUGAGUACAGAGCUCUUGCACAGGGAAUCUGUGAAGGGAUUUGGAUAAAAAGGGUUCUUAGUGAACUGGGACAAACGAGUUCAUCUCCAAUUCUGAUGAUGUGUGAUAAUCAGGCAGCUAUAAGCAUAGCAAAGAACCCCGUGCAUCAUGACAGGACCAAGCAUGUUGAGAUUGACAGACACUUUAUCACAGAGAAGGUGACUAGUGAGACGGUCAAAUUAAACUAUGUUCCUACCAAGCACCAAACCGCAGACAUCCUCACCAAAGCUUUACCUAGGCCUAACUUCGAAGACUUAACUUGCAAGCUGGGAUUAUAUGAUAUAUAUUCUCCAGCUUGAGGGGGAGUGUUGAAAUAAUGCCAAAGUUAGGACUUUAAUUUAGGAAUAAAAAAGGAGAGAUCAUUUAGGAUAUUUCCUUAUGAUUUAGUUUCCUAAUUUUAGGAGAGAAUUAAGCUAGAUUGAUUUUUUCUUAUUCAGUCAUUUGUGUAUAUAUAUGUGUAUGGUGUGUACCGAUUAACAUCAAUAAAGGAGUUCAGAAAUUCUUCAGUUACCUAUAAAAAAAAAGACCACUGUGGAUCCUAUAUUUGUUGCCUCAAGCAUAACAGGCCUAUUAACUUCUCUAGGAAUUUUUUUUUCACUGAUAAGUAAAAUAUGUUGAAAACAUAAGAGCGCAGGUUCAACAAUUGCAAUGUAGAAAGGAAAAAGAUACAUGAGCCUUGUUUGGGAGAGCUUCCUGAACAUUAAAAGCAGUAUUUGAAAGUCAAACAUAAUUUUGAAGAGUGUUUUGAUAAAACUCUCAACUAGGGUACCCACACUUUUCAAUAUGAUUUAUUCAUGUAUUGAACAAUAGCAACUAGGGUCUUCAAGCAUAACAAGCCUAUUAACUUCUCUUGGAAAUAUUUUUUUCACUGAUAAGAAAAAUAUAUUGAAAACAUAAGAGCACAGGUUCAACAAUAGCAAUGUAGAAAGGAAAAAGAUAUAUAAGCCUUGUUUGGGAGAGCUUCUCGAACACUAAAAGCAGUACUUGAAAGUCAAACAUAAUUUUGAGGAGUGUUUGGAUAAAACUCUCAACUAGGGUCUCCACGCUUUUCAAUAUGAUUUAUUAAUGUUUUGAAGAAGUAGUGAGAUCCAUUCUUUUCCUCAACCAUGAUGCUGGGAGCAAUUUUCACUUAAUUAAAAAUUUUAAAAUGUUAUAAUUAUCCUUAUAUCUAAUAAAAACAUUAGGUUGUUUGGUUCAGUUUAUUAUGGCAAGAAAAAAUAUGAUUUGGUGUUAUAUGUCACAAACUCAUUCACUUAAGUGUUUCCUGAUCUCACAGGGAUAUUUCAAGCAACUCUCUCAGUGGAUAUAUUCCUCCAUCACUUGGGAAGUUAGACAAGCUCUCAACUUUGUAAGUGUGCUUGCUUUCUUCCAGUUAAUCUAAUGCUAGACAAUAUUUCUGAGUUUAUAAUAUUUCAUUGAAGUCAAUAUUCAUUAUUAUAUUCCUAUGUUUUGAAGCAAUGUGUCAACCAAUUUUCUGGUUGGACCAAUACCAUCUGAUGGUGUACUCACCAAUUUUUCUGGGAACUCGUAAGUACAAUCUUUCUUAACCUAAUUUCAUUCUAACAUGUUUCAAUAAGUAUCAAGCAAUAUAGUUCCUUGAAUUUCUUUUUACGUUUUUGAGGAUUGCUUCAUCUGGCUUGCAAGAAUUGGGUUCAGGCUCUUUAUGUAACUGCUUAUGAAAUUGUACUUUUAUAUGUUUUCUGUCCUGGUUAACUAUUAGAACUUGUGAAGUAGCUAAUAUCAUGUGGAGAAACAUUCUUAUUGUGAAUCGUCUUUGUAAUCCUGAAGUUAAUACCUAGUUUUUGUGUUAUAUUUUUGAAUUUGACAUAUUGUGAGAUUCUAUGUUUCUGAAGGGGAUUCUGGCAAGCUGAAAAAUGAAACUAAUGGGACUGAAUAUUAGCUUCAGUGCUUUCUUUCUUUCUUUUUAAUUAUUUUUUUGUUGGUAUCAAUUCCAUACAGAAUACUAAUUUAAGGAUGAGCCAUCCUUCAAGAAUAAAAAGAAGGAUACACGCACUAGAAAAGGAGGCACAGCAGUAGUUAGAAUUGCUUGCAGUUCUCCCAGUAGACACUGAAGGUAAAAACACCUUAAGGAGGCAUGAAAUCCCCACAAAGCUGUCUAUUGAAGAUCUGUUUGGCUAAUUAGUUAGCUACUUGACUGUAGGAUCCAUUUGAAAUAUCAUCCUAAAAGCCUCACUGUAUUGAUGAUCUUGCUUGGAUGUGUUUUCACGCCCAUAUGAUUGAUAAUAAGGUUUUAUUGUCACUUGUGGUAGUCUAUGAGAGUUGAAGUUUGGAAUGAGUAAUUGACACAUUCUACAUCUAUAUAUAUAUAUAUAUAUAUAUUGUAUGUGUGUAUGUAUAAAGACAAUAUAAAAAAAGAUUUCUUAUCUUUCCAACAGAAAAUACAAUAAGCAAAACUAGGAAGAAUAAAACUCAAUCUCAGAUCAAGUGGAAAAAUGCUAGGACACCUGAGAAUUCCUAGUAAUACAUACCUAAAGAGUUGUAAAAUUGUAUAUCUAUCCUAGCAUCUUACAUCAAUAUCCACCUAGCCUAAAAAUUCUGGUAUAGCAAAGAUAGCUCCUCUCAAUAAGGCUACCUUGUAAAGAGGUCUUUGGUAAGGUUGAAACUCAGAAGCAGCAUGCUUUGAUUUUGGUGGAUUUUUGGGACAAGGAAGAGAGUGCUCGUUCAUUGUCUAUGGAAGAGGAGGAAGCUAGGAAGGAGGCAAGAGAGACUUAUAAAAAGUGGGUCCUUUUAGAAAAGGCGUUGUGGAGGCAGAAGUCUAGAGAAAUUUGGCUGAAGGAGGGGGAUAGAAAUACAAGGUUCUUUCAUCAGAUGGCUAAUGCUUGUAGAAGGAGGAAUCAACUAACUAGAGUAAAAGUCAAUGGGAGGUGGUUCACUGAGGAAAAUGAAAUUAAAGAGGAAGUGAGCAGAGCUUUCCAGGGUCUGUUGUCAGAUCCUGGAGGAUGGAAGCCCAAUAUAGAUGGGUUGAUUUUUGAGAGGUUGGAAGGAUUAGAUGUGGAAGGGUUGGAGAAGCCUUUUUUGGGGGAGGAGGUCUUUGGUGUGUUGUCAGGUUUCUGCGGGGAGAAAGCGCCAGGCCCUAAGGGUUUCCCAAUGGCUUUCUAGUAGUAUUCUUGGGACUUUGUAAAGGUGGAGGUGAUGAACUUCUUCAGACAGUUCCAUGAUUUCGGGAGCUUUGUACGGAGUCUGAAUGCAACCUAUCUAGUGCUGAUUCCUAAGAAAGGGGGGGUUGAGGACUUGAAGGAUUUUAGGCUAAUUAACUUGGUGGGAGGGUUGUACAAGUGGUUAACCAAGGUGCUGACUAAUAGGUUGAAGGGGGUGUUAGCUAUGGUGAUCUCAACGUCUCAAAAUGCGUUUGUGGAGGGGCGGCAGAUUAUGGAUGCAGUGCUUAUUUCUAAUGAAGCAAUAGACUCGAUUUUGAAAAGCAAUAGAGGGGUGAUUCUAUGCAAAUUGGACAUUGAGAAAGCCUAUGAUCAUGUGGAGUGGUCUUUUCUUUUGGCGGUGUUGGAGAAGAUGGGGUUUGGGGAAAAGUGGUGUAGAUGGAUAAAGUGGUGUUUAUCCAUUGCUAGAUUCUCUGUUUUGGUGAAUGGAACCCUUAUUAGAUUUUUUUAGAGCUCAAGGGGUUUAAGGCAAGGAGAUCCCCUUUCGCCUUAUUUGUUCGUAAUUGUGAUGGAGGCUUUCAGCUGUCUGCUGAAGAGAGCAGUUUCUGGAGGCUUUUUAUCUCCUUGCUCGGUUCAAGGAAGAAGGGGUGAAGGGGUCCAGGUCUCUCACUUGCUGUUUGCUGACGAUACUUUGAUUUUUUGUGAGGUGAGGGAGGAAUAGUUGACGUGUUUGUGCUGGCUGUUAAUGUGGUUUGAGACAAUUUUGGGGUUAAGAGUGAAUCUGGACAAAAGUGAGCUGAUUCUGGUUGGUAGGGUAGAGAAUGUGGAAGAGCCGACCGAAGAGUUCGGUUAUAAGGUGGGAAGAUUGCCUUCCACUUACUUAGGAAUGCCGUUGGGUGCUCCUUUUAAAUCUACAGCCGCUUGGUAUGGAAUUGAAGAAAGAUUCCGCAAGAGAUUGACUAUGUGGAAACGUCAAUACAUUUCUAAGGGAGGGAGGACCACCUUAAUUUGCAGUACUUUGUCUAAUCUGCUGAUCUAUUUCAUGUCUAUUUUUCAGUUGCCUAGGGCGGUUAGAAUGAGAUUGGAGCAUAUUCAAAGGGAUUUUUUGUGGGGUGGUGGGCUCUUGAGCAAAAACCUUACUUAGUAAGGUGGCCAAUUGUUUGUUUAGAUAAAAGAAAAGGAGGGCUGGGGGUUAAGAGUCUUGGGACAUUCAAUAGGGCUCUCUUUGGCAAGUGGAGUUGGCGCUUUGCAAAUGAAAGAAAGGCCCUUUGGAACCAAGUGAUUAGAAGGAAAUAUGAGGAGGAAAGAGGGUGGAGCUCUUGUGAGGCUAGGGAGGCUUAUGGAGUUGGGUUGUGGAAAGCAAUUAGAAAGUUAGGACACUUAGUGACCCCUUCUUUUGACUUUGUGGUGGGUGAUGGAAGGAAGGUGAGAUUUUGGAAAGACAAGUGGUGUGGAACCACCCCUUUGUGCGAGUCUUUCCCUUGUUUAUUUGCUCUAGCAACUUCCAAAGAGGCUUGGGUAAAUGAAGUUUGGAUAGCUGCGGGGGAAAGGGGGGGAAGUUGGAGCCCUUGUUUCCCUAGAUGUUUCAAUGAUUGGGAGAUGGAAGAGGUGGAAAGGUUGUUUUGUUGCUUGGAUGGGAAGAAGGUUAAUGUGGGUGAGGAGGAUAGGGUGAGGUGGAUGGACUCAAAGGAUGGCUUGUUUUCGGUAAAGUCUUUGUAUAGAGCCUUGCAGCCAGUUUCUCUUGUUUCUUUCCCUUUGAAGAUUAUAUGGAACUCUUGUGUGCAACCUAAAUUAAGUUUCUUUGCUUGGGAGGCUUCGUGGGGAAAAGCUCUAACCUUGGAUCGUUUGCAAAAGAGGGGUUGGGCUUUGGCUAAUAGAUGCUUUCUGUGCUAAAUGUUUGAGGAUUGACUGAUCACCUCCUUCUUCAUUGUGAAAAAACAAGGGAAGUGUGGAUGUUGCUCCUUUCUUUGUUUGGAGUGUCUUGGGUGUUUCUCUUUUCGGUAAAAGGAAACCCUCUUAUGGUGGAGGGGUUCUUUUGUGGGUAAAAAGAGGAAGACAAUGUGGCAAGCAGGACCGUUAUGCUUGUUUUGGGCCAUUUGGAAGGCAAGGAAUAAAAUUGCCUUUGAAGAUAGUGUGUUGUCCAUCCAAAGGCUAAAAGCUUCUUUUGUGUAUUUAUUGUGGUUGGAGACCAAAUUGUGGAUAAAAGGUGGUCCUUCGACUUUAAUAAAUUUUAUAGAUUGGGUGGGUUCGUGGUGAGGGAGAAGGUUUUUUGUUUUCCUUGUUGUUUUUGGGUCCAGCUGUAAGGGGGUGAGUGUCUCUAUGCUGUACUUCUGUGGGUCGCUAUUUUAGCGCCUCUUCGUAAUACAAUUCUUUUGCUUAUUGAUAAAAAAAAGAAAAAAAAGAAAAGGCUACCCUGUAAGGAUCUUUUUUCUGUUUGAUUUGCAAUGCCUCUCAGGAACCAAAACUGCUAUGCAAAGUGUUGCCAAUAAAGGAGGAGAUGGUCAGAUGACUCACCACAUGUUAUACAUAGAAUGUGACAAUCAGGGCUAUUGCAGAAGCAAAAUCAUUAUUUUGACCUUUUAUUAACCACUAACCGUACAAAAACCCUGAUUUGCAUGAGUGUUUUUUGACUUCAGAUUAACUUCACUAGGGCGAUAGAACUGGGGUUCAGACUUCAAAAGAGCAGAGAAGAAGGAUUUAAUUCAGAAGAAUACCAGGAACCAGGGUCCAACAUAUCUAGUCUGUGGUUAACAUAGAAAGAAAAACAUUUUACAAAGAUAGGGGAGAGAAGGGACAGUGGUCAUUAAUUAGUAGGUCCCUUGAGUUUGUACAAAAAUCAAAAUUUCAGGCUGAGGAAUUAUAAGAUAUAGAGAAGAUAGAUAUGGAAAAACUCUGAAUCGGGAUAGGAGAUGAAGGUGGGGUUGGUGGCAAAAGAGCUGAACCCCACUUCACUGCUCUUCCCAAAACCAGUGAACAAGCUAUUUCCACUGCUUGAAAAAUGUACAACAAAUGGAGUCCUGAGAGCCAUGUCCUAUUGCUUUCUAAGAAUACUGAAGUUACCACAAAAUUGGCAUCUGAUCAAUUAACUAUAUAAACCAUGAAUACUUUUAAUCCUGAUGCUAUAAAGCAAGCUCCCAAGUAACCACCAUAACCACUUUACCAAUAAAGACUAUUCCUUGCAGAAAUACCCCAGGCCUACCCCUCCAUAAGGAUGCUGUAUGACAACAAAUCUGAGCAAAUAGAACUUUAUGAAUAUUGUGGAUACAUUUGCAAAUAAUAUGCCCAUACAGUUUAUUUCAGUUCAAGAAUGGAUAUAAACGACCUUUAGAUCCAUUGUAAGAUGUGUGCACUCACAACCCAAAUUAGGGUUAACCUUAUCUCUUGUGGGACACACAACCCCAAGGGUAGGGAUCAACUCCGUGUCUUUAUGGACUAAACCUGGUGGCAAAACCAAUCCCACACACUUGCAUCAAAGUGUCUUCCUGAACGAUUUUUAGGAUAUUCACCCAAGGACCCAUGGUCCUAUAUAUAUAUAUAUAUAUAUUCAACCAUUUCUCAAGGUUUUUUUUUUUUUUAAUAGGUAAUCAAAAUCAAUUUAUAAAAAGUAACACCGGAGAAAGUGUUACAAAGUAUACAAGAAGUAUACAAAGAAACUCCUCAAAGCAACACAAAAACAAGGAGAAACAUCAACAACCCCCUUAGCCCAAACCCAAGCACUCCACAAAAACUAAGGAAUGAGGCCUAGGAACUAGGUGCAUCUUGCACCAAGCCCAAAGAUUACAAGCAAGGAAGGAUUUCAACCCUUGAAUUGAUCGUCCCUCAUUAUCAAAUGCCCUACUAUUUCUUUCCUUCCAAACAGUACAAAAAAGGCAUGAAGCUCGAUGAAUACAUGCUUCAAGAUAACUCUACCUUAUAUCAUGUUUUUCCCUCCUAAUCAAGAUUAUACAUAUAUAUAUAUAUAUAUAUGUGUGUGUGUGUGUAUGUAUGUAUGUAUAUGGAAGCAUACAUCAUGCUUCAGUACAAUAAACAACAUGAUACCAUAAGACAAUGGUUCAUAUUCAAUCCAUCUUAUCCCACAUGGGCACUUCAUGUGAACUUCCAUAGUAUUCCGUACCAUGCAGUGCUAUAAGCAUAUGCAUAUCCUUUUUUUAUUCCUUUCUCAACUAUAAAUGUGAGCUUUUCUUGGUUAUUGCAUCCCAAUAAUAAUGAGCAAUUGUUAGUUUUGCAGUUUAGUAAAUCCAACCUAUCUUAAUGCCUAUUUAAAGAUUAAAUUCUGGACAAUAAGAUCUUCCAAGUUUGAAGUUAUAAUCUCUAGUCAAAUGUCUAAAAAUUGAGGUGGCUUUUUUUCAUGCAAUGCUAGUCUCAAGAAAGAAGAUUGGAAACCAAAAUGUUUGAAUUAUAUACUUAAUAUUACUCAAUAGUUAUCAAUAUUAUACUGUUGUUUCAUGCCAAAACUUGUUGAAUCCAUACAAUUGUACUUUGGAUGUGAUCUAUGACUUUAAGCCUCAAGGAACCCAUUUUACAAUGAAGCAAAACAAUUCUCAUUUGAUUGGGAGUUUUUACAGGGAGUUACUGUUUAUUAACUAGGAUGUGUUCAAAUUAACCAUAUAUGUUUCUUAGCAGCACCAUAACUUUUUUCCACAUUCCAUAUGCGUUUCUUUUUUCCUUUUCUUUUUUCUUUUUCUUUUUCCCCAUAACUUUAGAAGUCAUAAGUUGUAGCAAUACCCUACAGAUUCUAUGUCAUAUAACUUAAUGUACAAACUCAAGCUCUAAAAUCAAACCCCACAGGUAAGGUUCAUAAAUAAAAUUUGGAGUAAUAUUCACACAUUUUUUUGAUGGAGUAAUAUUCACACAUCAUAGCCAUAUGUCAAGAACUUCAAUUUGAUUAUCUAACCAUCAAUGAAAUCAGAUUACAACUUAAACAAAUCAUAAGAAUGACCUACCUCACACCAUAAAUUCAACUCCCAACAUCAAAGGACUCCUUUCUUUUUCUCUCUUCUCUUUCUUUCUUCCUUUGUGCAUGACUUCAAUUGGCCACUUUAAAGGAUAUGACCUAAUUAAUCAAGCUAAAUUCAAUUAAACAAUACCCAAACUUAAUCACUUUAAAUUAGUUUUGGAAGAAAAUUGUUCGUUUAUUUGCUUCAAAUGAAAGCUUGAAACACAAUAUUAGCAAAAGCUCCAACUUCUUCCUUUUUUCCUCAUGCUUCAUUUACCAUUUCUAUCUUUCUAACUCAGCCAUUUCUGGCAGAUUUUUUUAGAGCUGAAAAUGAGGCCGAACACCCCUUACGUUUAGGUGCAGAGAAAGUCUGAGGUGGCAUGUGCUAGUUUGCCACCCAUUACCUCUUUUUCUAUUUGCACCUAAGCCCUUUUGCUUUUAACUCUUCCCAGUUUCAAUUUCAAUUUCCUCUUUUGAUGGAUUGCAAUUUCAAUCUCCUUAUAGUAGUAAUUUUUAGUAGGUGCUAAUCCAUGAAUGUUUGGCCUCAUUAAAUGCAUUUAGCAUUAAACUGGGUUUAAUAUAUAAUUAAAAUGAUUAGUUUUAAUGAUGUUUAACUCAUAACUAAACCUGGUUAGCCUUAAAAAUAAUUUUAACCUGUAAUUAAUAACAAUUAAUCUUUAUGCAAAGAUGUAGGGUUUUAACAAUACUUCCAGGUAUUACAGUUGUUUUAGGGAAGUUGGUGAAAGGCUAGUGGUGGUGUUUUUAAGAGGGUGGGGUGUUUUUCCGACUUGGUGUUUGAAUAGCCAUUAAAAGAGGUUAGAUCACGUUAGUUUAUGAAAUAACAUCUUUGUAGGGAAUGACAAUAGAACGAAGUUGGUCUGGCAGUUGUUGUGGGGAUUUUGCUUUGAAGGAUCAUUCCUGGACUUGUUUAAUGUUGCUGCAACAGGGAAGCUGCAGUAGCCUAUUAUUGGUUGUGGAGGGUGGUCAGGGUCACUUGUGUCCUGGUCUGAUCCCAGACCAAGGGUACAUAUGUCCUUUGCUGACAGUAUUUUCUGUGAUGCUUUUAUCAUGUUAUGUUGAGGGUUGCUCUUGACUUCAUUCUGGACAUAUGCAAAACUCAGCUUAGAGAAGAAUAUGACUCUUCGGUUCCCUUUAUUGGUACUUUAUCUCUAUUUGUGUUUGUUUUUAAUUUUUAGGGACUGUUAUUCUCUUUUUUCAUAUCAGAACAAACCAUUUAAUUUCAUUUAAAUAGUAAAUAUAAAGUAGGAUAAAAAAUCCUCCCAAGGUUUACAAAAAACUGAUCAAGAAUGGAAAAAUAUGCCUAUAUUACUCCCAGGUAAAGAAAAACAAUUAGCACAUCUUAUAAAAAGGAAUCCAAAAUCAAGCACAAUCCAAAAAUGAGCCUUUUGCUAAAGGAUCUGCUGAGUGAUUGGUUAGCGUGGUUCCUGAGUUAAGGAACACCUCAGGUUUCUAGCAACAUCAAUAAGCUGGAGGGUCUAUCCAUCAUACUUCCAUGGAUCUUUCUCAUUUUGGAAUGACAUUGACAGAGUUACCCUCAACCUACAAAUCUAAAAGACUCAAAGCUUUGGCCUGCAACAGACUUGCCAAACCAAAAGAGCUUGUAUCACUCACUAUAACACAAUGAUCUGCAUGCACUCCAAUCCCCAGUUGUUUUAUGUUACCGAAGGAACAUCAUCGAAGUUUAAUUUUGUUGAUUAUAGUUCAGUUAGUAGUCUUUUUAAGGUUUUCUUCUCAAGUUUGCUAGAAGGAUGGCUAAUCCUCUUAUACUAUAUUCUCUUUAUAUGAUAAACCUCAUUCUCUUAUACUAUAUUCUCUUUAUCUGAUAAACCUUAUUAUCUUAUACUAUAUUAUAUUGUUGUUUCUCAUGAGAAAAAAAAAAAAUUCUCUUUAUCUAAUAAACCAUUCUUUUCUCCUACACAAGAAGACUUCGUUAGUGUUUAACUAUUGCUCCUCUUCCACUUCUAGGGUGCCAAAUAUGCUCUCCAUCCUUAAGGUAGAUUCAAGCUUAACUUUGAUGGAUUCUCAAAAGAGAGCCUCAAAACAAUUGGCAUUGGAAGCAUUUUUAUGGAUGAUUUGGGGAAGAUCAAGAAUGUGCCUCCUAUGCUAAAUGAGAGGGGUAGUUGUAUAGAGCCACCCAUUUUCUCUAAGAUUCUCCAUAUGACAUUGAAGUCCCCUCAUACACACCAAAUUGGGAAAGUUAGACCAAAAAGGUCUUAAAGCUCCAACUAGAAAUCCUUCCUCAAGUUAGAAUUAUUGGGACCAUAAACUGAUGUGAACUAAAAGGUCCCCUCUUCAUUAGAACUCAACUUAAUAGUUACUAAAAAAGACCUAAAACCAUCUCUAAACAAUUGAACUUGUUUGAGUCCCAUAUUAGUAUGAUUCCUCUGAUGCCCCACAAGCCGGAAGAACCUAAUCCUUAUUUCUACCUUUCCAGACAUUGCCCACAAGCAUUCUAUCACAAGUCUCAUUCUUUUUUUCCUAAAGCAUCACAAUGUCUAGGUUUUCAAAGCUAAGAAAAUCCUUUACAAUCCUUCUUUUCUCUCUGGAACCCAACCCUCUAAUAUUCCAAUUAAUGAUCUUCAUGUGGACACUUAAGAGCCCUUCAAACUACCAAAUCAAACCUAAGAAUCCCUAAGAACUCCAGAUAAAGUCCUAUACUUUCUUCUAAAAUAAACCUUAACCAAUGGUUGUGCGUUGCUAUUGUCCACUGGGAAGACAGUCUCACUGCCUUUGACUAGCUUGAUGUUCAUAGUUUCCAAAACCUACUCUACAUUGGCCAUUUUAUUGGGUGUGGGACCCUGUAUGUGAAAUCCUCCUAGUGAGGAAGAGACUGGUUCUAGGGAUUGAUCACUGACUAUGAAAAGGUGCUCAGUAGGGCUGCUAAAUUGUGCCCUGAGAAAAGAAAAGCCUUACAGUCAAACAUGGUUCCAAAAUUGUCUUUUUUCUCCAUGUUGUAUGGGCAACCUUGUAUAGUGGAGGAGUUUAGUCUUUUUGUUAAGGGUUUUGUAUUCGUGGGAAGGAUUUCGCAUCCUUCUUUUAUACUUUUUAUUAACAAUUAAUACAUCUUUGGUUUUUUAAUCAAAUUGCAAAAAAUGUUUUUUUUUUUUUAGUGAUUGGAAGCAAUAAAAUUCUGUAAUUACUGUGUUCUCAUUGAGACAUAAUGAGAUUUUUUUUUUCUUUUUUUUUUCUCAUUUUCUCAAUUAUUUUGUUGAACUCCUAGGGGGAAUACGGCUAGAAUGAACUUUUUUCAUGUAUUUGGUUAUCCCUAUUUCUCAAUAUGCUUUAACUUUAUUAUUUAUUUAUGAUGAUUCCCACCCGAGUAAAAUUUUGACUUCAUGCAUUUCUUUCUCUCUUGGGAUAUGGGUUCACUUUGUGUAUAUAACAUGUGAUGGAUGUAUUUCACUUUUAGCUGUUGAAAUAAAUGGGCAAUAUAAAAUCUUUGCUACAAGGAGAAAACUUAGUUGCAGUCAAAACAAGUGAGAGUGGUAAGAAAUGCAACUGUAGAAAUAAAUUAAUAAUAUAAGUGUGUAUAAUAAGAAGGGAAAAUUAGCUUCCCAUCAAAUAAAGCACAAUGACAAAGAAAUUGCAUACUGAUGAAAAAUAGUAAGCCACUCCAAUAAAAAGGAAAAAAAAAAAGUGAAAAAUAGCAGGCAGCAAGUGCUUGUGGGUAUCAGAGGGAAACCUCCUUCAUUUCUGUUCAGUACCAUUGUCCUACUAUUUGAAAUGUAACUAAGUAUUAAUAUUUAACUAUUGAAUGAUUCAUGUUGUCUUAAAGUGAUUUCUUGGCAUAUACACUUCAUUGAGGAGGAUGUAGUGCAUGCUGUUUUAAUAUAUCAUACUUCCUGGUCCAGCAAAUUUUCCCAAAUUAUUGGCAACUAAAUUGUUGUUACAUUAGAGUAUUGUAAAAGGAGUAUGUUAGAAAGCCAAACAAUAUUGUUAUGUCCUGCAAUGUUGAUUUAAUGCAUUAUUUUGCAGCUUUGUCGGAAAUCGCGGUUUGUGUGGGAAGCAGAUUAAUAUCACCUGCAAAGACGACAGUGGAGGGGCUGGAACAAAAUCACAACCUCCCAUUUUAGGUAGAUCUGCUUGAUCUAGGGUUAUUCAUUGGUUGUAAAAUGUUACAUUGCUCUAGCAUUUUUUAAAUUGAAUGCUUGCAUUUCUUGUCUGCAAAGGGUUUAGUUUCCAUGACAAAGGAACUGAAUCUUUUGCUGUUUAUGUCUACAAUAUGGGUCCAGAAGAUUGAUAUACUCCUUGUUUAUCUCAAUAAUUUUCCUCAGGCAAUUCUGUUAUUUUGUUGAGUAUUAUUACAUUCACUACUUGAUCAAUAGUGCUUAUUUACGGUGAUAUCUUACUUUGUUGGUGUUUUGUACUUUUAGACCAAAACCAAGUUGGGAAGAAGAAAUACUCUGGCCGACUACUUAUAAGUGCAUCAGCAACAGUGGGUGCACUGCUUUUGGUGGCACUUAUGUGCUUUUGGGGCUGCUUUCUUUAUAAAAAAUGUGGUAAAAAUGAUGGCAGGAGUCUUGCAAUGGAUGUUAGUGGAGGUGCUGUUCUCAUAACUAUUCUAUAACCUACUGUCUGAAUGUUUAUUGGGCUAAUAUUUAUUAUAUCCUUGUCCUUUUGGGAUCCUAGAAUUCAAUCAUAUCUAUUGACAAGUUAUAUAACUUCAGGUGCAUCAAUUGUUAUGUUUCAUGGAGACCUGCCAUACUCUUCAAAAGAUAUCAUCAAAAAGCUGGAGACAUUGAAUGAGGAACACAUAAUUGGUUCAGGCGGCUUUGGAACAGUGUACAAGCUUGCCAUGGAUGAUGGCAAUGUGUUUGCUUUGAAAAGAAUUGUAAAGAUGAAUGAGUGCUUUGAUCGUUUUUUUGAGAGGGAGCUUGAAAUUCUUGGAAGCAUAAAACACAGAUACCUGGUGAAUUUGCGAGGAUAUUGCAAUUCUCCCACCUCCAAAUUGUUAAUUUAUGAUUACUUACCUGGCGGUAGCCUGGAUGAGGCUCUUCAUGGUGAGAUCCCUUUCUCUCUUCUAUUUAUAUGCUUUGAAUGUGUUUUAUGUGUAUGAUAAACAUGCAUGAUGUUGAAAAAUGUUGCAUAAGCAUGAUGCCGCAGGGGGGACAUGUGGCACUUACAACCGGAUGUUUGUUCAAAUGUUAGCCUUCUACUUGACCACCCCCAGCACAACAUCAACCUUAAACUUAUGAUAGUGAUGGUUACCUAUAUUCAUUGGCAUGGUCACCUGCUCCUUCAUCACCCCUGAUGCAAUAUCAUCCUUGAAACAUAUCAUGUCAUUGAUCUGAAUCUUGUGCCUAGAUUACUCACAAUAUGUAGUGAUGUCAUUAUGUUAUGAGGAUACCAAAAGAAAGAAAAAAGAUUGUUACAAGUUUUUGUGGUUUAUUUAUACCCUGUUUCACAUAAGCUCCUAGUGGAAAUGAGUUACUGUUAGCUUAGGGUUAGCUGGUAAAAUUUGGCAAUAUAAUAAGGACUAAAAGAUUACAGUAGAUUGAGAAGCCAAAACUGCUCUUGGUUUUAUAUGGGUGGACAAAAAUCCUGUUUUCUAUGCUUCUUGAAUUGGAGCAACAAUUCACCAUGCGCAACUCAUGGAUGACCUCUGACACCAAGCUAUAAAUAGGUUCUUUUGUAAGAACAUGAACCAAUCUUUAAGAGAUACAACUUUAACCUGUUAUAUGUUGCUGAUGCAUGGCCUGCUUACAAUAUGGUUGUAUAGUCAGGUUGUAUGAAGUUGUGAGCAACACUGAUGGGCCUUUUUUUUUUUUUAUCAUAAGAUAUGCCCAUUGAGCUCUUCCUCUGAUUAAACAGAGUUGACAUUUUCAGUAGAUUUUCACAGGCCUUCAACUGUAAUCUGUCUGCAUGUUCCACACAAGGCUGAUGGCUAAGAGAGGCAAAAUAUAUGAUGAAUGAAAGAAAUAGUUAUAAAAUUCUUAGGAUUUUCCUGCAGCUCAAUUAUGACACCAAUGGGGUUGAUCCUUUCAAAUCAAAGCAGAAGUAAGACAAUUGAAAGAUAAUGCAUCCAGAUCACAGUUUGCACCCAUCUUGAUCAGACAACAAGGUGUUCUUGAAGAUUUUUAAGACAUGUUCAUCACAUGAUUUCCUACAUUGAAUUUGAACACAUAGUUCUUUAUAUUUUUGUUAAUGGAGUUCAAGAAGUCAGUUCUAAAGAUAGAUGAUUGUUUCAUUCAUUUAUUAAUGAUCACAAAAAAUUCAUUUUAUAAAGAAUCUGGGAUGGCAAAAAGACAUCUUACAGUUUACUGAUGUAGUCCAAUUCGACUUUCUUCUGGUGAGAAGCACCAUAUAGUUUUUGUUUUUUGGAGCAUUAACUUCUUGUGCAAUAUGUUUUCCCUUUAUAAUUUUGGAAUGACGUAAUCUAUAAGUUUUUUGUUUUAGAAUAGAUCCUAUAUUCUUUGUAUAAUAAUGACUUCUUAUGUGUGACACAGAGAGAUCAGAGCAACUAGACUGGGAUGCACGCUUGAAUAUUAUCAUGGGAGCUGCAAAAGGACUAGCCUACCUGCAUCAUGAUUGUUCCCCUCGGAUUAUACACCGUGACAUAAAGUCGAGCAACAUCUUGCUUGAUGGCAAUUUGGAGGCUCGAGUAUCUGACUUUGGACUUGCUAAAUUGUUGGAGGAUGAGGAAUCUCAUAUUACAACCAUUGUAGCAGGAACUUUUGGUUAUUUGGCUCCAGGUGAGUAAUGUAGUAAACUGUUCAUCUCACAUAUUAUAUUUAAGAAUGUUCCAAUUGGCACUUGGCUUUUGAUAGACUUGAUGGAAUGGUAGAAAAUGAUUCUCUUUCACUUGUUGAAGACUUUUGUCAGGCUUUCAUCUUCUCCUGAAAAUUUCUUAAACAUGCAAAAUGGUAUAUUAUGGCCCUGCCUAGGUUCUCCUAGGCAGAAUUUCAUGCAAUAAGAUGAGUGUAUCGAUCCCUUUUGUUGCAUUCUUUUAGAGGAUCAAGACGAUACGAUGAAUGUUUUGAGGAAGAAAAUAAAAGGACUAGUCCUUGCGGCCCAGCUCAAGUAGCAAGGGGUUUGGGUGGGGGAUAUGGGAGGUUUCAGGAACAAGUCCCAAUAGGGAUGAGGAAAAUAGAAAAAAUUCACAUACAAAAAUUAAAUAAACCAACAGGCAAGAAAAGUAAACUGAAGUGAAAAUUUCAGAGUUUGUCAUGGUAAGGCAUUGGUUGAGGCAUCCCUCUUGGGAAAGUGUAAAGCAUUAUUAAGUUGAAUUUACCUUUAUUAUACAAGACAAAAUUCCAGCAGCUAAUACUUUUGAUUUAUAAUGCCUUGUAUAAAAAGUAUCUUCCAAGUAUGGUGUCUGAAUCAGCUGCUUAGAAUACUUGGACAGUGUUGAUAUUUAGCUUAUAAUCCAAGUAUCAUAUUAAAGCAGAGGACAGGAAUCUGGAUAUACUUGCAGAAUUGGACCCUAUUGUUUUUCUUUUGAUAAAACUGUAGCAUAGAAAUUGUGUUGAUUUGAAUCUUUGAUCCUGAGUUCCUCUGUCACUCCAUCUGCAGAGUAUAUGCAAAGCGGUAGAGCAACAGAGAAAACCGACAUUUAUAGUUUUGGGGUUCUGAUGCUUGAAGUAUUGGCUGGGAAGCGACCCACUGAUGCUUCGUUCAUUGAAAAGGGCCUCAACAUUGUUGGCUGGGUAUGUCUCCUUGCUAUGCUUGUUAAGAUUGUUUUAAGCUUAUUUACCUUAUAUCUUCUUUCAUCAGGAUCAUUUCCGGUAACCAAUUAUCAUAAUUCACUUUUCUCUGAAGGUAUUUGAGAUUAAACUAUCACACUAGAAAAGUACAAAACUAGCUAAUAGCAUGGUGCAUUUGCUAUUGUACCUAAUUCAGCAAGGAAUGAAAAACUAUCCUUUGUUCUUCAUGAUGUCAAAUCAGUUUUUGUUCAUAUGACAAUUGCAUAUUUAGUUUCUUUUUUUCUUUUUUCCCUGCUGUUCAUUUUCUUCUGUCCUGCAAUAUCUUUCCAUGCCAUCUAUCUAAGGGUUCUGUAUUUUUGAAUGCCAUGAGGAACUAGCCUGCACAAAAUGCAUGGAUUUAGAGUCAGGUGACAAAGAGAAUAAGAGAGGAUAUUAUAUUCUAAAUGCUAUGUGAAUUGGGAAAUGAACUUCCAGAAAAAUUUUAGUUAAGGUAAUGCUUCCAAAACAUUGGACUCUGUCCGUCCACACAGAUAUCAAUGAACUUUUAUGAAUUGGUUUCAAAGGAUUCAGCCAAUUGUCUUCAUUGUGGGAUAUUGUUGAGAUAGGAAUCCAUGUUGCCAUAGUCUGCAUACUUGGAAUUCAUGUCUGUUCCAAUUACGGUGGGAGACAAACUGUCCAUUAAUCUGGCUCAUCUUUCUUCCUGCUAUUUUAUUUUUUAUUUUUUAUUUUUUUUGAUAGAUUAAAUUUUCUUUGGUCCCCAUUGAGACUCUAAUCCAUAACAAGAGCAAAUCUAUUGUUAUCCCCAAUAAUAGAAUCUUCAACAUGUUGACAUAGAAUAGAAUAGAAAAGAAAAAUACACCACAGUGUCUGUUUCAGAUAUGCCCUGUGAGUUAAUAGAAUAGAGCACCAUCACAAUGCCAUGCAGUCCUAGAAUCCAAAAAUUACAAAUGGAUGUUGGUUUGAGUUCACUUACCAAAAUCAAACCUACUUCAUGGAUUAUAUAAGCGAUUAAGUGAGUAGAAGCUGACUGUUUCUCCGAACUAUCUUAAAAGCCAAGUAGUCUAUAAAUAAGGAAGAAAUGAAGAUCUCAAGAGACAGAAAGAUGUCAUUAUGGGGUAUGCUGUUCAAAACUCCUUUUAGUCAAAGGAUUGUCCUCAGGGUUACAAUUUCCAGGAACCAUUGUCCUUUGAAAGUUUAGUUAGUAAAAGAUUGACAAGAUGUUGAUGAUGAUCGAUUAUGAAACAAUGUUUCCAUAUAUGUGCCUGAUGCAAGAAGCAUAAUAUAAUCAUUGGUUAUGGUGGUUGCACUAACAUGUCAAAAAUGUGGUGAAGGAAUGAGGUCAGGAAAUUGAGCCACAUCAAGGGGUAUACAAAUAAUACAACUCUCUAGGCUGAUUAAGGAUUCUUGUUUUCUGUGUAGCUGAAUUUUGAUGGCUUAUGUGAUGUGCUUCCUCUAAUGUAAUGUCAUAAUUAACUAGAAAGCUCAUGUUAGAUGAAUAAUUAUACAUAUUGACCUGGAAUAAUGAAGAUUACUGGAUCUUUCUGCUGUCAUAUUGAGGAGUGUUGGUUUUUAAAAGUUUGUAGAUUUUAGUUAUGGAAUAUCUAGAGGGGGAUAAAUAGUUAUUAAUUCCCUUUUAGCCCAAAUUUUUGUUUUAUAAUUUCUCUUUAAGGAUCAUAGAAGAAGUAGAGAAAUCAAUUGCAUAGGACACAACAAUUUUUACGUGGAAAAUCACCCAUAAAGUAUCAAAGACUUCAUGGAUGUAAAACGAUGGGGUUUAGAGAAAUUAAUUGCACGAUAUACAACAAUUUUUACGUGGAAAACCAUCCAUAAAGUCUACUGGAGACUUUAUGGAUGUAAAAACCAUGGGGUUUAGAGACCAUAAAGCUAAUUCACUAUUGAAAGAAAAGUACAUAGAUUUACUUGGUGGAUGCUAUCCAUAAGUCUUACUCCACAAUAUACAUACUAGUCUUUAUAUCCAUGAUGCAAUAUCAUAUGUGCACCCAGUGAACUACCUUAACACUUGAGAGGAUGCAGAUCUCUCUCAUGAAACCAAGAACGAGAAUAAUGAACAGUUUGAGAGUUUUCGGAUGCGGGAAAAACUAAUAAUUGGCUUCUCUAAAACUUGCAUCAUGACUAAAAGACAUUUAUGGCAUGACAUUUAUAGGGGUGGUUCCCAGUGGAUGAAUUCCAGAAUUUUCCAAAGAGAAUCUAUUAAAAAAUGGAAAGAAUUAACUCUGAAAUUCUAGAGAAUUUUGCCUUGAGCGCUUAAACAUUUAUAAGGAAUGCUUGAGCGCCAAGUUUGUGCACUUGAGCACUCAACUAACUUCUUAAUUCAAUAAUUAAAAACAUUUUUUGCUCAAUCCAAAAACCUAAAAUCCAUUAUUUUUUAUUUAUUUAUUUAUUUAUUUAAUCGAGGAACUCUCCAUGGCCAAGUCCUUAGAACUCUCCUUGGGGACCCAAACCUCGGGUGUUGAUUGCCCUGCAACAAUCAGCAUCGGCUAAAAUCCACUUUAUGCCAUAAUUUAACCAAAUUAGCAUUUUCUGAACCUUUCUAUACUUGUGUCAUCCCGGGUCAAUCAUGCAGCAACCUUGAGUCUUCAAAGAAGAGAGAGGCACAGUAGACUAGAAAAGUCUUAAGCCAAGAUGAAUGGUAUAAAAUUGCUAACUUAAACUAAGCAACCUAAUGCACCAACAGUUUUUAUCUUAAUUGUGUAUCUUCAGGGAAGGGAGCCUUCUUGACCACCCUCAAGCUCUACGGGGUUAAGUUUUUCACAACUAGAGAGAAUUUAGCAUAAUGAGAAACUAGAUAUUGCAGUUCAAGAUAUGAGGCUCUAUGCUUCAAUGGCGGAGAAAGGGAAAUGAAGAAAAUGAAUAUGCACAGAAAAUUUGUGGUAAAUAAUUACAAUCAAAUGAUGUCAAGAAGAUGGCAGUCUUUUCUAUCUCUUAGUGUCUCUGUUUAAGAGAUUUUGAAUAAGAAUGGGGCUCUGGUAUCAAACUGUGCAAGACUAAAGGAGAUAUGCUUCUGUUGCCACUGGAUGGAUGGGAAUUUGUGUAAUGUAUGUUCAGUUCACGAGUUUCAUCAGGAGUUAUGAAUAAAAGUAAAUCAAUUCAACUUAGAAAAUGACUGAACUAGCAAUUGAAAGUACCUAGUGUUCGUUAAUUGAUUACACUCACUAGUAGGAGUUUAAUGGUAAGCCUUUGACGAAGUUGAACUGAGUGUCUCUAGCAUGUAAUGCCACACUCCUCAUGGCAACUCUCUAUCCAACUGCUAUCACUAAAAAAUGGUUUGAAGGUGAGCCCUUGAAGCACUUGAAAUUGGCUUCUCAAGCGGGUAACAACCACCCUCCUAGUUGUCCCUCCCUGUCUGACAAAUUUUGAUAAAUGUGUUGCUUGAGAUUGAGAUUUGAUGCUGGAUUCCUCUGAGAUCCCCUGCAGAGAGGGGAGCUGUGUAUGACUCCUUCCAUGCAGAGAUGAACCAGGGUGUCUAUAAAUUAGCUUCUCUGCUUGUACAGCUGUUGAUGCCACCAUGCAUAUGGGAAGUUCCACUGGAGUAGCAUCUUGUAGGCCUUGAGCAUUGCAACCUGAAGUAAACUUCCUGGCUUCUGAUGCCAAGUUGUGGUCUAGGGGAAAGGUUCUAAUAUUAAGAGGAGCUGAAGAAGAUUACACUUAUUGUCUAUCUCCCGCAUUACAUACAAUUAUCAAUGAGGCAAAAUGGGAAAAAUGUCCCUAUACAACAGAUAUUUCUCCAACUGCUUACAGUCUGUUACCUUCUUCCUCCAGACAAUCAUGCUCAUGCUUCAUAUCUAGACAUGUGCACAUGUAUUCAUAUAAAAGUGGGACAUUUUGGUUAAUACUAGAUGUUCUUGUCUAUCCAAUUGGUUGAUCCAUCUCUUUUGUUUUGCCUUGCAGUUGAAUUUUCUGGUUACAGAAAAUAGGCAACGGGAGAUUGUUGAUCCACAAUGUGAAGGGGUCCAGUCAGAAAGUCUUGAUGCCCUGCUCUCGGUUGCCAUCCAGUGUGUAUCUCCAGGACCUGAGGAUCGCCCAACGAUGCACAGGGUGGUCCAGAUACUUGAAUCUGAAGUCAUGACUCCAUGCCCUAGUGACUUUUAUGAUUCCAACUCAGACUGAGAGCCCUCUGGGAGACAAAGAAGACAUGCUUUUGUUCAUAUUCCAUGUUAUUACAGCUUCUCCCAACAAACUAGGAAGGUUAUGCAUGCCGUGAGGGACUCAAAAUCUGCAAGGUUUCAUCCUCCACUUCAUUUAUUCAUUUCUUUUGCAGAUGUAUGACAACUAGAAGAUGCCUUAUUCCAUCCAUCCAUUCAUUUAUAUGCCUUGUUCCAUCCAUCCAUUCAUUUAUCACCAAAAUCCAAGCACCUGAUCAGCCACCAAUGGGAUUCAAGGUAAAACGGCCUACUUUUGUUAUCCUCAUUUUGCAUGGAUUGCAUGCAGACUUUCCUUUAUCAACCUGAAUGAAUUUUCCACUUGUGGUAUGCUUUAUCCGUUUCUCCUUAUAUUUAUUUUCCCCUCUUUGGUAAUCUUCUCUAGCAAUUGUUCUCUCAAAUUAAAUGUAUAAAAACAUGUACAAAUUGAAACCUCCAUUUUAGACCAAUCCUUGUUUAUGCCAUUUUUGUAAAAUAUGUUUCCUUUGCUAUAGUCAAUUCCUUGAAUCACUCUACGAGGCUCAAAACUCCUAUAUGAUUAUUUGACUUGGGGUUGUAACUAUUACAUUUGCCUUCAAUUCUGUCUAGUUUUCCACAGGGAUUUUGCGAGAUAUUGUUCCAUUUGAUCCAUCUACAUCCAUGUCUUUUCUGUUCUAUCAACUGUGUAAAUCUUUAAUGUGGAUAGGUUUGAUUUAUAUCAUCUUCAUAGCAUGUGGGUAUGUUGAGGGCAGAGCAGAGCAAUGUACUAUUUUCUAUUCCUGAGAACUGAAAAUAUGCCCAGAAAACAUGUUUGGUACCGCAUUUUUUCAUGCUUUUAUUUUCAGUCUCUUUAAGAAAAUUUAAGUUCUGGAAUCUUCGUAAUGUUUUGAGGAUUGGGAAUCAGGUGAUGGUAUCUAUUUUCGCAGGAUGACUGAAUUGAUUUGUUGUCAUAGCAGGUAGGGUUUUUUCUCUGUUCAGUCUAGUUGAAGAUGACUUUUGAUGGUGGGGGGUAACGGGAAUUAUAGGGCCUCUUUGGUAACAGUUUUUGAGAACGGUUCUCAAAGAACAAUUAUUAGAAGCAGUUUUCAACUGUUUUCAAGAACAAAAUUUGUUUAAAAGCUCAAAUUGUUUUUUCUUUGUACUAAAGAACAUGCAACUGUUUUCAAGAUCACUUACCAAACAGACCCCAAGACUUUGUCUUUGAGGUUGAAACAAAAUGUGAUGACAGUAAAGGGUGAGAGUAUUGUAACGUUGUACUCGGUGAUACGUGUAAAUGGGUGGAUUUGAUUGUAUAAUAAGGGUGUGUUUGGGAGGCUUUUUAUUUGAAGCAUUUUCUUUAGAAACGUUUUUAGUCUUGUCGAGAGCUAUAAAUGAUUUUUAAUUUUUAAAAAUACCUAAUUUUUUUUCUUUCAAAAACCUUUUUGUACGUUAGAAAUAUUUUAAAAAAUAAUUAUGUUAAUAUUUUCUAGGAAUUUGUCCCUUGUUACUAUUAUCAUGGAUUCGAUGGGGAAAAAGUUGAUGUGUGAAGGAAAACGAUUUGGAUGAGAGUGCUCUUGAUAAACACGUUCAUUUGAGAGUGAUUUUAAGAUGGAGCAAAAGCAUUUCAUAAUGUUUAGAAACGCUUUCUUAGGUGUUUGAUAAAUUUUUAAAAAUUCAAAGAAUGAUUUGAAAUGAUAUUCAUAAACAACGAUUUAGAUCAUUUUUACAAAAAUCACCUUUGAUUAUAUACAAAGUAUUAAAAAAUAUAUUAUCCUAACAUUGAUUCCUCAACUGUUUUUAAUGGAAGCAUUGAUAACAAAAAUACAUUAGAUCACUAAAUCUUUCGACUGGACUGUAGAGUAAAAAUGUUUUUAUCCUUUCUACUAUUUGAAAAUUUUUAUGUAAUAGAAAAUUUUUAUUUUAGAAAUAUUAAAAAUACUUUUUAAAAUCAACGGCAAACAUGCUCUUCUGUUUGGUAAUUUAAAAAACACUUUUUAGUACAAAAGUGUCUUUGAAGAAAAAUAAGCAUUUCGCAAUUUAAAAAAGGUUAAAAAAGAUAGUGUUUUUUUAAGAACAUUGGAUAAAUAAUUCUUUUAAAAAUAUCUAUAAAAAAUGUUUUCACUAUUCAAAUAUAAAUACUCUUAAGGCACGUUUAUUUUCUCUAGAAACAUUUUUUUCAAAAGAAUUGCUUACCAAAUACUACUACAAAAAGCACUCUAUAAAUGAUUUUUUUAACUUUUUAGAAGUGUUUAAUAAAUUUUAUUGAUUUUUUUUCCAAAAAAAACCUUUUUAUACUGAGGGUGUUCUCUAAAAGCAUCGUUAAACAAACUCUUAUAAGGUUGCAGAAAGCUUCUAAUCAAAAUUCAAAGUUUCAACCAUUUAAAGAAGCAUUCAACAAAAAAAUCAAUCGCAAGUUUCGAUCCAACAAGGCGACCCGCAAAAGCGAAAACGACUAUGUUGUUGCUUUUCUGGAUUUGCAUUAGGUUUUUGAAGUUAAUUGUUCAAGGGUUAACAUAAAUGCGAUUCUAAUAAACAAAGACCUAUUCCAUAUUUCAGUGAUAAGCUUAAUCAUACAAAUAAGAGCUCAAUAAUCAGCCUACCGCCAUGAGUUCCAAGUAGUAUUAUUUCAUUUGUAAUAUCACAAGAAUGCAGCAAGAAUCUAUUUGUAUAAGGAGUUUUAGGUUACCUCUUCAAGUAGCUUUGCUGAAAGAAUUCUUUCAAUGACAAGAUGUAGCGAUGUAGUCCAUGGAUCAGACCAUGACUUGGUUUCUGAAUACCAGCUAUCAGCCCCCGAUAAUCUGACAAUGUGGCAUCAGACAAUGGCUCCAAGAACUCGCAGUGAGCCAAAAUUUCAGGUGGGGGCAUUCCAGCAAUGAGGUUGGUUUCCAGUUUUGGUUUCCCCUUGGUGAGCUCUCUAGGGGCUUCAACUGAGGCACAUUCAAUUGCAGAGGGGGAUGCACCGGGGAUUACUUCCUCUGUGAAAGGAAAAGCUCUUGCAGCUUGCAAGCAGAACUCUAUCCAUUGAUGGAUUACUGGAGAUGGCCCUCUGACUCGGCCCCCGAUUUGGCGGCUUCUUUCAAGUUUUGAAGUAGAUGGGAUUGCCUGCAGAAAGGAUACAGCAGAAUAUCCUAGUAAAUACACUAGUACACCAUGGAACAUAGACCAGCAUAGGAUAUCCAAAUCAGCUGAAAUAUCAAAACAGAUUCCAAUUCUCAUUAUAUUUAUCAUUAACCUGGUUCUUUCCUCAAUUUUUUUUUUCUUUUUCUUUUUAGAGCAUUAUUGAUAUAUUAGGGUUUUUGUUUUUCUUUUUUAUAGGCGAAGAUCAACACACUGUGAAGAAAGAAAGUAAAUGCAUAGUAUUAUGAGAUGAAAUCAGGACAUACCCAAAGAUCUGCCCAUAAGCUAGCUCCAGACUUAGGAACAAUUACUGCAACAUUAGACAUGCGUUUGGCUGCAGGAAGGACAUCACUACUCCACCCAACAGCCACCCAUACAUCUCCCACACUAAGUGCUUUUAUAUAGUGUGUGCUGUCAAAGCAUCGUACCUAUAUAAAGCCAUUUGAAUGCGUAAGUCCCAUUAUUGAUAUAAAAAAUAACAACCAUUGUACCACUCCAAAUGCAAAAUAGCUUUUAUGGAAUUCAAUUUCUUUUUGUUUUUCCUUUUUGACAGCACAAAAAUGGUAAGUUACCCUUACAUAAGCCAUAACUCACAAGUUGUAUCAGACUGAUUACCGUAGUUUACAAAAUCCGGUAGAAUUGACUCAGAGACUCAAAGUUAAUACAUAACAUAUCAAGUCCCAGAGCAAUACCAUCCAGUUAUUUUUGGUUAAUCACAUGAUAUUUAUUUCUUCUAUUUUAUGUUUUUUUUCCUUUUUCCUUUCUUUUCUCCAUUUCUUUGAUGAACUCACGGCUCUCAUCCUGGAUGUAAGAAAUAUCUAGCCAAUGAACAAUACUUAUUAUUGCAUGAGCGUCAGAUAAAACAACCGACAUAAUCUCAAUACCUGUUUCGCAAGCAACAUAAGAUUCUGCUGUACAGCAUUCCUCCCACCAUUAACUUGCAAUUCAAUGUUGUCUGUGUUGUAGGAUGCUCCCAUGUACUUUAAAACAGCACCAACAACCUCUCGUGGAGAAUCAAUCAUUGAAAUCCUCCCUGCAAGUUCAGGUCGCCAUAAAUCUGCCCAGUCCUGCAACCAUCAACUACUUAGUCCCAGAAUAAUUUUUUAUAGAAAACAAAGUUUUUGAAAAAUCCAUAGCAAUAGCUAGAAGUUUUUAUAAUGAGAUGAGUUGAAGCCAUGGCAAUGACAAGCAAUUAUACGAAUUCAUGCCUUCCCAAAUAAUCGGACGAACAAAUGCAGUGGUUGUGGGGGUUCUAUAGGAGACACAAUUUGCUGUGGCAUUAUUGAAAAUAUUUAUUUAUUUAUUUUUUGAUACUUAAUAUUGUUGCUACUCUUAUUCCUUUGACUUGAAGAAAUUCAAACCUGGAAUUUCCCAAAUCCCAGUCCAACCAAUUGCCCCUUGAGCCAGGCAUUAUUGGAAGCAUUUAUGGACUGAAACAACAAUCACUUAGCUAACUUUGUGGGUACGUGAUCACAUGUUGUCCUAAGAAUUGUCCUAAGAAAGACAUCUCUUAAUGUCACCAAAAUUGUGCUUCCUAUGUUCAACUCAUUAUUGAUGUUGGAUUGAAAAUUGGUUUCUUGGAGAAUUGACAUUGGGAGGAUCUACCCCUUUGCCUUCUUUUGAUCCUUGUCAAUUUCCUUCCUCAGAACAGAGAUUUCCCAAUACCCACAAUUCUCCAUUCUGAAACUCAAACUUUCAGCUUCACCAAACUAAUCAAGAAGUUAAUGGCCUGUAUAUUCUAAUCCUUUCCUUAAACCACAUUUAUCUAUCUUCAUCCUUUCCAAAUGAAAGAAUAGGAUCCAUGGCCUUCAGUUUUUUCUAAGCUAAGCCCUACUUUUCUAGCCUUUCUAAAAGUGGCAACCCAACACUCCUUUGUCAUCACCAACUUUAUUUGAAGUCCAUGGCUAUUCCAAAAAUUGGGCCUUGGCAUAGUUUAUCUGAGAUUGAAGCUCAAGAAUGUAAAUUGUAUUUUCCAGAAAUAGAUUCCAAAAGAGGAACAGAUAAGAGAUUCUUGUUCAAAUGUUUAGUUAUCAUUAGGAAUUUGAGAUUCCCCUCUAUCUUAAUAUUUUAGUUGUAGGUUUUCUCAAUAUUAUGAGAGAAAUAGAAUUGAUAGAAAAAUUAUGAACACCCCUUCAAAACAUAUUUAUUAAUAACAAAAAGAUUUAUUUAUAGGGGAAUAAAAAUGGGGUUGUCUCUUUGAUUUUUUCCAUUUUCUAAAAUCAAGAAUAAAAUAUCAUGGGUGGAGUGGGUAGGAGAUCCAACCUUGUUUGGGAUGAACUCAUACCUAAGGGAAUUGAAUUAAAAUUUUCCAAGCAAUGUGUAUCCCAAAUAGGAUAAAUUUUAUAUUCGGCAAUACACAUCCAUUUUCCAGUUAAAAUGCCUAUGAAGCAAACCAGUUAUCAAGGUCUUUAAUGUGUUAAUGGCCCUCUAGGGGGUUGGUUGUAUUUGGAUAGCAACAACUUUUUGUUACCGUUUUGACUGCCCAAAGGAUUUCUGAUCUCAUCCCUCUUUAUAUCACAUCCUUUCAUGAUAAAUAAUAUGGGUCUCCUAUCAAAGAAAAAAAAUCAAAUUAUUAAAC